RNAcentral lists this long non-coding RNA (1150 nucleotides) under Bos mutus (wild yak). Its description in RNAcentral is "lncRNA (ENSBMUG00000002864.1)". Lineage: Eukaryota; Metazoa; Chordata; Mammalia; Artiodactyla; Bovidae. The record is from RNAcentral.
AUUUUAAAGGAUUUGUUUAUUCUAAUGGAUAGAGAUUGUCUUUGGAUAAUAUAAAUAUUCCAAUGAUUUAAUGGAGUUAUCUGAAGCCAUGUAGACAUUAAUUAGAGUUCUAUAAUUAGAAUUAUAGAAGCUUCCUACUGCAAAAUAGAAGGCAAUAUGUUAAUGUUUCAGGUCUACUGUGCUGUUAGAACACAGUACCUGAUGCAUUUUCAUAUACCAUGGCUCUAAUAAUUCUUUCUAAAUAACCACUGUGAUAGAUAUUUAAUAGUUCUUUAAUUAAUGUUGGAGUAAAACCCAUUUAUAUCUGUGCUUAUCCCAGGCUUCCUUCUCUCACAAGUGAACAGUCUGUCUGCUUCCUGUGUGCAGAGCCACCCAAACUGAUGAUGACACAGAAUCCAAUCAGAAAAGCAGCAUAAAGAUGAAAGGUCUUACCAAUGAGAAGUGAACUUGCUAAAGUACACCUUUCAAUGAAUUUGGACAAAACUGAAAAAUGUUGUUGAUAUCAGAUCCUUAGGCUGAUUACUGAAGCGUUCGAUUUUUUCAGUAUGUCAAUUCAUCACUGUCCACCUGGUUAUAUUUAACACUUUCUCCUGUUUUCCAGCAUGUCUGCUGAGAUAGGCAAUCGCUGUCACAUGAUAUCUGCCUCUCAGGAAGGUGUGAUCUGCUGUUCAGCACGUGCCACAGCAGUUGUUGCAACAAGAUCUACCAAUGGACGCUGAAAUCAGCACUGAAGGCUGACUGGAUUGGCUCUGCUUCGUCCUGCGAAUCUGGGUCUGGCCUGACUUGGACCAAGGGGCUAACUGGGACAGUGUUUUCUCCAGAUGAUGGCAGGAGUACAAGGAGGCAAGCCCCACCGCACAAGCACAUUUUAAGCUCCAGCCUGUGUCUCCUUUUGGAUAAAGAUGUUUACUUGGCCCACCCAAAGUUGAGGGGUAGGGAAGCACACUCUUCCCAUGGAGGUUGGGGGGAUAAAGUGCAUAUUUCUGAUGAAAAAUCUAAUCAAUCAUAAGGACCUUAAGUAACUAGUCAGAUUGUAAUAUCUUUGAGGUCUGAGCCCAUGCCUGGUACUGCGUGUAUAUCCUCCCUGACAAGAAAUAUGAAUUUAAGCACACAGUAGGAAAUAAAAAGAUAAGUUUCAAAAUUUAAAUCA